Molecule: ribosomal RNA, 220 nt
Filed under: uncultured Paenibacillus sp.
Lineage: Bacteria; Bacillati; Bacillota; Bacilli; Caryophanales; Paenibacillaceae
Description: partial 16S ribosomal RNA
Rfam family: Bacterial small subunit ribosomal RNA
Source: RNAcentral
CGGAGGAAGGUGGGGAUGACGUCAAAUCAUCAUGCCCCUUAUGACCUGGGCUACACACGUGCUACAAUGGGCGGUACAAAGGGUCGCGAACCCGCGAGGGGGAGCCAAUCCCAAAAAAGCCGCUCUCAGUUCGGAUUGCAGGCUGCAACUCGCCUGCAUGAAGCCGGAAUCGCUAGUAAUCGCGGAUCAGCAUGCCGCGGUCGAAUACGUUCCGGGCCUU